AAAAGCGACUCGGGCACAGGGUCAGAUGGAGAUGAGGGCAGCAUGGGCAAGGGGGCGGCGGCGGGAGCGCGAAACAAGAACAGGGCGUACAGAGAAUGAGUACAGAGAAUGAGAAUGAGUAAGAAAGGCAGAGAGAGCUUGAGAAACCAGAAAUGUAGCGAGGUGGAAGAAGGAAGAAGACUUUGGUUAGGACGGGGAGAGGCAGAGAGAGCCAGAGAAACAGAGAGAAUGAAGCGAGGUGGAAGAAGGAAGAAGGCUUUGGUUAGGACGGGGAGAGGUAGAGAGAGCUAGAGAAACCAUUAAUGAAGCAGUGGAAGAGGCGGGAAGAGGUAGAGAGAGCGAAGUGAAAGAAGGAAGAAGGCUUUGGUUAGGACGGGGAGAGGUAGAGAGAGCUAGAGAAACCAUUAAUGAAACAGUGGAAGAGGCGGGAAGAGGUAGAGAGAGCGAAGUGAAAGAAGGAAGAAGGCUUUGGUUAGGACGGGGAAAGUUAGAGAGCGCUAGAGAAACCAGGAUUGAAGCGAAGGAAAGUGGAAAAAGAGAGGAAAGAACAUUUGGGGGCAUGGCAAGGAGAGAUUAAAGCAGCGGGCAAAUGGAAAGUACACAAGAGGGUAGGGGUGGGAAUAUGAGGUAGAAGAGAGGCAGAGGAAGGUGUGAUAGAAGAGGAGGGGAAAAAAAUCAGGGAGGGAAGUACAGGUAAGGGACAGCGGGUUGCAGAGUCAAAGGGAUAGAGAGCAGGGGAGUGAGGAGGAGGGUCAAGAGACGGGGGAAAGUGUGGUAAGGAGAAGAAAAAGGAGGCAGGGAGCUAUAGGCAAAUAAGGAGAUGGAUGAAGGAGGGUAGGAAUAGUGAUUAGAAGGACCAGUGGCGAGGAGGACUGGAAAGGGCGCAAGGACAUAAGAAAGACACAUUGAAAGUUGUAAAAAGGAGGAAAGAUCAUAUGAAAAGAAAGACACAUUGAAAGUUGUAAAAAGGAGGAAAGAUCAUAUGAAAAGAAAGACACAUUGAAGGUUGUAAAAAGGAGGAAAGAUCAUAUGAAAAGAAAGACACAUUGAAGGUUGUAAAAAGAAGGAAAGAUCAUAUGAAAAGAAAGACACAUUGAAAGUUGUAAAAAGAAGGAAAGAUCAUAUGAAAAGAAAGACACAUUGAAGGUUAUAAAAAGGAGGAAAGAUCAUAUGAAAAGAAAGACACAUUGAAAGUUGUAAAAAGGAGGAAAGAUCAUAUGAAAAGAAAGACACAUUGAAGGUUGUAAAAUGGAGGAAAGAUCAUAUGAAAAGAGACACAUUGAAAGUUGUAAAAAGGAGGAAAGAUCAUAUGAAAAGAAAGACACAUUGAAAGUUAUAAAAAGGAGGAAAGAUCAUAUGAAAAGAAAGACACAUUGAAGGUUGUAAAAAGGAGGAAAGAUCAUAUGAAAAGAAAGACACAUUGAAAGUUGUAAAAAGGAGGAAAGAUCAUAUGAAAAGAAAGACACAUUGAAGGUUGUAAAAAGGAGGAAAGAUCAUAUGAAAAGAAACACACAUUGAAAGUUGUAAAAAGGAGGAAAGAUCAUAUGAAAAGAAAGACACAUUGAAAGUUAUAGAAAGAAGGAAAGCUCAUAUUAAACGGGAGAGGCAGAGCAAGGAAAGAGAGAAACGGGAGAAGGGGGUUAAUUAGCGAGGAAAAGGUGAUAAAGUUAAUAAUCAGAUAGAAGUUAACCCGUUGGAUGCGGAUUUCCUACAAGAAGACAUCACCAAGCUAUAGGAAUGAAACAAAAAGUGUCUGCUAUAAUUCAAUGAAGAAAAAUGUAAAGUCAUGCAUUUUGGAAGGGGAUAUCCAGCGUGCCAAUACCACAUAGGAAAUACUCCACUAUCCACUACAGAGGCAGAGAAAGACUUAGGAGUAUAUGUUUUCAGGCUACCAUUGAAGGCGAUAUUCAUGCCAAUCGCAGCGGACGGGUUAAGGGGCAUGUGAUGAAAGGGAUAUGAGGCAAACAAGAGUUAUAGAUAAAAAAAAGGUAAAAGUAGAGUGAGGGCAUACACUUUAGCAACCCGUGGCCAGUGAGGCGGAAAUGUGGGUUAUACGUAUAUAUGGCAAAGAGAAAAGAGAGCAGAGAGGUGAAUAAGAGGUGAGGUAAAGAGGUUAUGGGGCUGCAGUGGUGGCGAUGCAGUGGGUUAGUGAAGGUCGAAGCAGUGAGGGGAGAUUAACCCGUCCGCUGCGAUUGGCACGGAUUUGGCUUUCAUUGGUAGCCUGGUAACAUAUAGUCCCAGGUCCUUCUCUGCCUCUGUGGUGGAUAGAGGAGUGUUUCCCAUGUGGUAUUGCUAUGCUGGAUAUCCCCUCCUAUGGUGCAGGACUUUACAUUUUUCCUCAUUGAAUUGUAGCAGCCACUUUUUGUUCCAUUCCUGUAGCUUGGUGAUGUCUUCUUGUAGGAAAUCCGCGGUCAAGGGGUUAAGGUCGCUAUUCUCAAACGUCUCCGCAUCUCACUUAAACUAUUUCCAAGGACCGAUAAUGGAGGUUGAUCGCGUUCUCAAGUUUUUUUCCCCUUCACAUUCAGGGUACAGGGGGUUAAUGAAGGUCGAAGCAGUAAGGGGAGAUUAAGGUCGCUAUUCUCAAACGUCUCCGUAUCUCACUUAAAUUAUUUUCAAAGACCGAUAAUGGAGGUUGAUCGCGUUCUCAUGUUUUUCCCCUUCACGUUCAUGGUACAGCAGCUUCAUCAGGGUCACAAAACUACAGAAAGAAGGGAGAUUAAGGUCGCUAUUCUCAAACGUCUCCGCCUCUCACUUAUUCCAAGGACCGAUAAUGUAGGUUGAUCGCGUUCUCAAGUUUUUUUCCCCUUCACGUUCAUGGUACAGCAGCUUCAUCAGACUACCAACAAGGUCACAAAACUACAGACAGAAGGGAGAUUAAGGUCGCUAUUCUCAAACGUCUCCACCUCUCACUUAAACAAUUUCCAAAGAACGAUAAUGGAGGUUGAUCGCGUUCUCAUGUUUAUUUUUCCCCUUCACGUUCACGGUACACCAGCUUCAUCAGACUGCCACCAGGGUCACAAAACUACAGAAAGAAAUGCUCACAACUCCUAGGAAAUCCCUGUCGAAUGUGUGUGCUUGAGGACCGAAAUGUUUUAACCCUGUAGCUGCGGUAAUCAUGUUUCUUAAAGGCCCCUCUAAGCGAGAAAAAUGAGAAAAAUCAUCACUCACGCAAACCAUUUCAUAAUAUAUAGCAACGCAUUUGUGAUCAGGUUAUGCAUCAUCUAUUUUUGGGGGGUUUAUUUCAUGGCAAAAAUCUGGCCCGUCGCUGCUACACGGUAAAGCCACAAAUUUGGCCCGUCGCUGCUACACGGUUAAAGGCCCAUCUAAGCGAGAAAAAAUGAGAAAAAAACAUCACUCACGCAAACCAUUUCAUAAUAUAUAUCGACGCAUUUGUGAUCAGGUUAUGCAUCAUCUAUUUUUUUGGGGUUAUAUCAUGGCAGAAAUUUGGCCCGUCGCUGGUACACGGUAAAGCCACAAAUUUGGUCCAUCGCUGCUACCGGGUUAAGAAUAUGGCCCUUGCAGCGGUGUGUGGGCGGGAUCAGGGUAAGAAGGGCGAGGCAGGGGCGGCGGGGGGGAGGGG
Eriocheir sinensis (Chinese mitten crab) is the source of this 3580-nucleotide long non-coding RNA. RefSeq lists it as uncharacterized. The record is from RefSeq and is a predicted model, not a curated record. The transcript is spliced from 6 exons. NCBI's taxonomy places the organism in Eukaryota, Metazoa, Arthropoda, Malacostraca, Decapoda, Varunidae.